Molecule: ribosomal RNA, 253 nt
Filed under: uncultured bacterium
Lineage: Bacteria
Description: partial 16S ribosomal RNA
Rfam family: Bacterial small subunit ribosomal RNA
Source: RNAcentral
UACAGAGGAGCCAAGCGUUGUCCGGAUUGACUGGGCGUAAAGCGCACGCAGGCGGAUGCGCGCGUGGGGUGUGAAAUCUGGCCGCUUAGCGGCCAGGCGCCAUCCCAUACGGCGCGUCUGGAGUGAUGCAGAGGUCGAUGGAAUUGCCGGUGUAGUGGUGAAAUGCGUAGAGAUCGGCAGGAACACCCAGGGGGAAACCAGUCGACUGGGCAUCUACUGACGCUGAGGUGCGAGAGCGUGGGGAGCGAACCGG